Long non-coding RNA from Leopardus geoffroyi (Geoffroy's cat), 187 nucleotides. RefSeq lists it as uncharacterized. Lineage: Eukaryota; Metazoa; Chordata; Mammalia; Carnivora; Felidae. The record is from RefSeq and is a predicted model, not a curated record. The transcript has 3 exons.
CUGUGGAAAACAAAUUGAUGGUUAUGAGAGGGGGGAUGGGUAAAAUGGGCGAUGAGGAUUAAGGAGGGCACUUACAAUGAGCACCCGGUGAUGUAUGGAAUUCCUGAAUCGCUAUAUUGUACACCUGAAACUAGCAUUAUCACACUGUAUGUUAACUAACUGGAAAAAAAGAGAGAGAGAGAGAGAG